This 429-nucleotide ribosomal RNA is filed under the name uncultured bacterium. RNAcentral describes it as "bacterial SSU rRNA". It matches the Rfam family "Bacterial small subunit ribosomal RNA", at positions 355 to 776 of the family's 1533-position model. The record is from RNAcentral.
UAGGGAAUAUUGCGCAAUGGAGGAAACUCUGACGCAGCGACGCCGCGUGGGUGACGAAGGUCUUCGGAUCGUAAAGCCCUGUCGGAGGGGACGAAAGACUCCAGGAUAAUACUCUGGAGGGAUGACGGUACCCUUAAAGGAAGCACCGGCUAACUACGUGCCAGCAGCCGCGGUAAUACGUAGGGUGCAAGCGUUGUUCGGAAUCAUUGGGCGUAAAGCGUGUGUAGGUGGCUUGCUAAGUUGAUUGUGAAAUCCCUGGGCUCAACCGAGGAAGUGCAGUCAAAACUAGUAGGCUAGAAGAUGGCAGAGGAAGGUGGAAUUCCAAGUGUAGAGGUGAAAUUCGUAGAUAUUUGGAGGAAUACCGGCGGCGAAGGCGGCCUUCUGGACCAUUCUUGACACUGAGACACGAAAGCGUGGGUAGCAAACAGG